ACUUUCGGGGCGGGGUGAGAUUCCCCACCGACGGUUAAAGCCCGUGAACACUCUUUAAAAUGAGUGCCGAUUCGGUGAAAUUCCGAAGCCGACGGUAUAGUCCGGAUAAAAAGAAA
Molecule: non-coding RNA, 116 nt
Filed under: bovine gut metagenome
Description: FMN riboswitch (RFN element)
Rfam family: FMN riboswitch aptamer (RFN element)
About the family: The RFN element is a highly conserved domain that is found frequently in the 5'-untranslated regions of prokaryotic mRNAs that encode for flavin mononucleotide (FMN) biosynthesis and transport proteins. This element is a metabolite-dependent riboswitch that directly binds FMN in the absence of proteins.
Source: RNAcentral